Molecule: ribosomal RNA, 424 nt
Filed under: uncultured bacterium
Lineage: Bacteria
Description: bacterial SSU rRNA
Rfam family: Bacterial small subunit ribosomal RNA
Source: RNAcentral
UGAGGAAUAUUGGUCAAUGGGCGCAAGCCUGAACCAGCCAUCCCGCGUGCAGGAAGACGGCGCUAUGCGUUGUAAACUGCUUUUCCAGGGGGAGAAACUUGCGCACGUGUUGCGCAAUUGACGGUACCCUGGGAAUAAGCAUCGGCUAACUCCGUGCCAGCAGCCGCGGUAAUACGGAGGAUGCGAGCGUUAUCCGGAUUCAUUGGGUUUAAAGGGUGCGUAGGCGGACUAUUAAGUCAGUGGUGAAAUCCUGCAGCUUAACUACAGAACUGCCAUUGAUACUGAUAGCCUUGAGUUUGGUUAAGGUGGGCGGAAUGUGUAAUGUAGCGGUGAAAUGCUUAGAUAUUACACAGAACACCAAUUGCGUAGGCAGCUUACUGAGCCGACACUGACGCUGAGGCACGAAAGCGUGGGGAUCGAACAG